RNAcentral lists this transfer RNA (100 nucleotides) under Malassezia psittaci. RNAcentral describes it as "tRNA-Arg". The record is from RNAcentral. Lineage: Eukaryota; Fungi; Basidiomycota; Malasseziomycetes; Malasseziales; Malasseziaceae.
GGCCUGAUAGCUCAGAGGAACGAGUGGCGCUUUCCGGUAGAUAUGUAUUAUCUAAUAAACUGGCUGGCGCAGGUCCCGGGUUCGACCCCCGGUCGGGUCU